Molecule: ribosomal RNA, 253 nt
Filed under: uncultured bacterium
Lineage: Bacteria
Description: partial 16S ribosomal RNA
Rfam family: Bacterial small subunit ribosomal RNA
Source: RNAcentral
UACGUAGGGACCAAGCGUUGUUCGGAUUUACUGGGCGUAAAGGGCACGUAGGCGGCUUGACAAGUCACUUGUGAAAUCUCUGGGCUUAACCCAGAACGGCCAAGUGAAACUGUCGAGCUAGAGUGUAGAAGGGGCAAUCGGAAUUCUUGGUGUAGCGGUGAAAUGCGUAGAUAUCAAGAGGAACACCUGAGGUGAAGACGGGUUGCUGGUCCGAAACUGACGCUGAGGAGCGAAAGCGUGGGGAGCAAACAGG